RNAcentral lists this transfer RNA (57 nucleotides) under Popondichthys furcatus (forktail rainbowfish). RNAcentral describes it as "tRNA-Val". The record is from RNAcentral. Lineage: Eukaryota; Metazoa; Chordata; Actinopteri; Atheriniformes; Pseudomugilidae.
CGGAAGGUGCACUUGGAUUAAUCAGGGCUUAGCUAAACAGCCAUAGCGUCUCUUUUA